This 460-nucleotide ribosomal RNA is filed under the name uncultured bacterium. RNAcentral describes it as "partial 16S ribosomal RNA". It matches the Rfam family "Bacterial small subunit ribosomal RNA", at positions 338 to 795 of the family's 1533-position model. The record is from RNAcentral.
CCUACGGGUGGCAGCAGUGAGGAAUAUUGGUCAAUGGACGAGAGUCUGAACCAGCCAAGUAGCGUGAAGGAUGACUUCCCUAUGGGCUGUAAACUUCUUUUAUAAAGGAAUAAAACGAGGCACGUGUGCCUUUUCGCUUGUACUUUAUGAAUAAGGAUCGGCUAACUCCGUGCCAGCAGCCGCGGUAAUACGGAGGAUCCGAGCGUUAUCCGGAUGUAUUGGGUUUAAAGGGAGCGUAGAUGGGUUGUUAAGUCAGUUGUGAAAGUUUGCGGCUCAACCGUAAAAUUGCAAUUGAUACUGGCAGUCUUGAGUACAGUUGAGGUAGGCGGAAUUCGUGGUGUAGCGGUGAAAUGCUUAGAUAGCACGAAGAACCCCGAUUGCGAAGGCAGCUUACUAAACUGUGACUGACAUUGAUGCUCGAAAGUGUGGGUAUCAAACAGGAUUAGAUACCCCAGUAGUC